AAACUAUUACUGACCUCAUUGAAUACCCUCAAUAUUUUAUAAUUUCUUUGUUGCUGGUCACCUACAACAAAAAACUAUCAAAUAUUAAUCUCAAACACGUGCUAAUGAACCGGUAGUUAAUAAACGAAAGCUGAGUACAAAAAGCCCAUAUUUAUUUCCUCAAAACUUGGCGCACGAACAAAGAAUUUAGUCAGAAACACAUAAAUCCAUAAUAAAACAAAAACACAUACUCAAACAUUACUUCUUUCACAGGGAUUCCCUGUUUUUUCAUAUUAAGCAUAAUCCGAUCCCCAGCAUCAGUAUAAAGAAAAAGCUAGAAGUAAGAAAAAUCCCCUUAUUCACUCAAAGAUGUUUGCUUAUCUCCUCUUUGAACUAUAAACCAGGUAUAUAAAGCACUAACAAUUGAUUUUUAGACUAUCAGUCACUAGUCACAGUCAAUACAAUUUAGUUUUGUGUGUUAUACAAUUUAUUUUAAAAAAAUGUCUGCUCAAAAAUUUGCUUUCUUUUGUGUUCUACUAAUCGUUGGCAUUUGAGGAUUUACCACAGCCGAUUGGUUGGAUGAUUUAAAUGAAGGAACUAGUCGUUUAUUAAAUGUUGUCAAUGAAAAUGCUGGAAAAGUUAACAAUAUUGCCAGUAGUGUUCAUCAAAUUGGCCAUAUAAUAAGAAAUAUUGAUCCAGAUUCAAAUGAAGAUGAUGACUAGAAGAUGUCAUGUAUAUUAAGGAAAAAUUUUACUUUUAACUUUACUUUAAACAAUAGUUAGGAAUAAAUAAAUUUGUAAAUAAACUAAAAAACUCUUUUUAAAAUUUAAA
Lucilia cuprina (Australian sheep blowfly) is the source of this 810-nucleotide long non-coding RNA. RefSeq lists it as uncharacterized. The record is from RefSeq and is a predicted model, not a curated record. Lineage: Eukaryota; Metazoa; Arthropoda; Insecta; Diptera; Calliphoridae. The transcript has 2 exons.